RNAcentral lists this ribosomal RNA (940 nucleotides) under uncultured bacterium. Its description in RNAcentral is "bacterial SSU rRNA". It matches the Rfam family "Bacterial small subunit ribosomal RNA", at positions 57 to 989 of the family's 1533-position model. The record is from RNAcentral.
GCAAGUCGAGGGGCAGCAUGAACUUAGCUUGCUAAGUUUGAUGGCGACCGGCGCACGGGUGAGUAACACGUAUCCAACCUGCCGAUGACUCGGGGAUAGCCUUUCGAAAGAAAGAUUAAUACCCGAUGGCAUAGUUCUUCCGCAUGGUAGAACUAUUAAAGAAUUUCGGUCAUCGAUGGGGAUGCGUUCCAUUAGGUUGUUGGCGGGGUAACGGCCCACCAAGCCUUCGAUGGAUAGGGGUUCUGAGAGGAAGGUCCCCCACAUUGGAACUGAGACACGGUCCAAACUCCUACGGGAGGCAGCAGUGAGGAAUAUUGGUCAAUGGACGAGAGUCUGAACCAGCCAAGUAGCGUGAAGGAUGACUGCCCUAUGGGUUGUAAACUUCUUUUAUACGGGAAUAAAGUGAGGCACGUGUGCCUUUUUGUAUGUACCGUAUGAAUAAGGAUCGGCUAACUCCGUGCCAGCAGCCGCGGUAAUACGGAGGAUCCGAGCGUUAUCCGGAUUUAUUGGGUUUAAAGGGAGCGUAGGCGGACGCUUAAGUCAGUUGUGAAAGUUUGCGGCUCAACCGUAAAAUUGCAGUUGAUACUGGGUGUCUUGAGUACAGUAGAGGCAGGCGGAAUUCGUGGUGUAGCGGUGAAAUGCUUAGAUAUCACGAAGAACUCCGAUUGCGAAGGCAGCCUGCUGGACUGUAACUGACGCUGAUGCUCGAAAGUGUGGGUAUCAAACAGGAUUAGAUACCCUGGUAGUCCACACAGUAAACGAUGAAUACUCGCUGUUUGCGAUAUACAGUAAGCGGCCAAGCGAAAGCGUUAAGUAUUCCACCUGGGGAGUACGCCGGCAACGGUGAAACUCAAAGGAAUUGACGGGGGCCCGCACAAGCGGAGGAACAUGUGGUUUAAUUCGAUGAUACGCGAGGAAACCUUACCCGGGCUUGAAUUGC